RNAcentral lists this ribosomal RNA (1365 nucleotides) under Chalara pteridii. RNAcentral describes it as "partial large subunit ribosomal RNA". It matches the Rfam family "Eukaryotic large subunit ribosomal RNA", at positions 86 to 1124 of the family's 3401-position model. The record is from RNAcentral. Lineage: Eukaryota; Fungi; Ascomycota; Leotiomycetes; Helotiales.
ACGGCGAGUGAAGCGGUAACAGCUCAAAUUUGAAAUCUGGCUCUCUCAGGGUCCGAGUUGUAAUUUGUAGAAGAUGCUUCGGGUGUGGCUCCGGUCUAAGUCUCUUGGAACAGAGCGUCAUAGAGGGUGAGAAUCCCGUAUGUGACUGGCUGCCUCCGCCCGUGUGAAGCUCUUUCGACGAGUCGAGUUGUUUGGGAAUGCAGCUCUAAAUGGGUGGUAAAUUUCAUCUAAAGCUAAAUAUUGGCCAGAGACCGAUAGCGCACAAGUAGAGUGAUCGAAAGAUGAAAAGCACUUUGGAAAGAGAGUUAAACAGUACGUGAAAUUGUUGAAAGGGAAGCGCUUGCAAUCAGACUUGCGCGCUGCUGAUCAUCGGAGGUUCUCCCCCGUGCACUCGGCAGCGCUCAGGCCAGCAUCGGUUUGGGUGGCUGGAUAAAGGCCGUGGGAAUGUAGCUUCUCUCGGGGAGUGUUAUAGCCCACGGUGCAAUGCAGCCUACCUGGACCGAGGACCGCGCUUCGGCUAGGAUGCUGGCGUAAUGGUUGUAAGCGACCCGUCUUGAAACACGGACCAAGGAGUCUAACAUCUAUGCGAGUAUUUGGGUGUCAAACCCAUAUGCGUAAUGAAAGUGAACGGAGGUGAGAACCCUUAAGGGUGCAUCAUCGACCGGUCCUGAUGUCUUCGGAUGGAUCUGAGUAAGAGCAUAGCUGUUGGGACCCGAAAGAUGGUGAACUAUGCCUGAAUAGGGUGAAGCCAGAGGAAACUCUGGUGGAGGCUCGCAGCGGUUCUGACGUGCAAAUCGAUCGUCAAAUUUGGGUAUAGGGGCGAAAGACUAAUCGAACCAUUGGAUCGGAGGAUUUCACAAUUUGUAAGCUGCAAGCUACUACAAUAUGAAGUACUACUAGGUGGUUAAGAGAUGCGUUGUGAAAGCAACAUCUAGUCGAAGUCAUCGGCUACACUAUCAAAUUGCGGGGACGUCCUGUUUUAAAUUCCAAGCUACCGCAGCUGGCUCGAAAGGGCCGGUGCGCACCAGGCUAAUAACCUCGGGGAUGGUCACAAUGCUUGGAUAGGGAUAAUCCGCAGCCAAUUCCUAAGGACCUCUUGGGUCUAUGGAAGCAGUUCACAGACUAAAUGAUAGUGGGUUCAGCUUGUGCUGAGCUUUAGAUAUAGUCGAUCCGCCAGGAGACUGGUCGGCACAGAGGAGUAAGCAUGGAAUGGCUAUAAGAUCUAUGCUUAGGAGAGCUGUGCUGGGAAGCGUCGUAGGCGCUUCUGGGGAAGUUCCAAUAAUAAAGCUUUAAGAAAGAUUGAUGCGCUUUUCGGAGAUGAUAAAGUGGUAUGUAGCUAAGUUGAGCUGCCAUUUGGGAAAGAUG